UGGCAGGAGGAACUCGAGAGCCGAGGCGGGCCACUGGAGGGACCGGCCGGAGAGGGGAGAACACUGGGGGAGAGAGGACAGACUGGUUGGGGAAGGGACGUACACGCAGAAGAGAGACCGAAGACUCUGGGGGUUAGAGACGCGGAAGGGUAGGUGUGGCGGGGCAAAGAUCUCCCUUUUCAGCUCCUGGAGGUCUCGAGCCGAGACCCCGGUCCGCUACGGUCUUUCCGCAGGAAUGAAACCCUGUGAGAACCUGUCUAUUGUAAUAGAGACUUCUACAAAAGAAGACAAAGGUCACUGAGGUCCACCUUAGACCCCCAAGACUUGAAGGACAUGAUAGACUGUGGGAAAUGGGGAAGCUUUCUCAAUUGAUGUUGCUAAAGUGAAGUGUCUUUCUUCUGGCUCCCUGUCUCUGCUGAUCUCUGCUGAUCCAGAAUGCCCCCAGAAGCCAAUUCGCAAUACAUGAGCCUUAGUCUCCCUUCUACCAUUGGUAAUCAAGGUUCCACUCACAAGUCCUCUGGGAAACAUCACCCUCCUUCCUUGUGAUGGUCAUUUUUCCUUGUGAUAGUCCAUGGCAGAAUCACUAUGACCAGAAAACUGGAUCACCCUCCAUAGGAUUCGUAGGUUAGUCCUAGAUUGAACAAAUAACCUUCAAAUACCCAUUGAUCACCCCAGAUAGGAUUUGUAGAUAUAAUCAAAAUCCUAAGUCAUACCCUUGGUGUCUUCUUAAUUUCUCUUAUUGUGGCUAGAUCCUGCUCGAGGAGGAAUCUAGCCUAUGACUAGCAUCCUCUUACCCUAUCCUUCAUAUAGGAUAAUCAGUUGUUCUUCCUUUCCUAUUCUCAUCUAAAGACUCCAGAUUCUUUAGUUCCACAGAUAUUCCAUUCUUGGGGGUUUUCCUGCAGACAAUGUUCCCAGAGUUUGAGAGCUGGGUGGCUUUUUGUGGUGGUCAGCCAGAAGAGCAUUGCCUCCCUUGACCUGAUUAAAGACCUUGGGACAUGAAAAUCAAAGUCCACAACACAGCACGCAUGCACGCGCGCUCUAAUACUCAUUAAAAAUGGAACAUUAAAAAUGGAAAAAUGAUUCAUUUCUGUAUGAAGAUAAAAAAAAGAUAAAUAUCAGCUUUGGCUUAAUAGAGGAUUCACUUUAAGAUGACUGAGGGAGUUUGUGCCUUGGAUAGUUCUGGCAGCAGAAACCAGCUUCCAAGAGACUAGAAAGUUGCUGUGCUAAGUCUUCAUCCUAUAGAAGACAAGCUCAUGGAGUUUCUCUACUGCAUUGCAGGGGUGGAGGAGGUUCCACAUCACAAGUGUCUUGCAUUGGUGAAAUCCUAACCCCAAAUAUGGACAUAUAUAUAUAUAAAAGGCAUGUUAUUUA
Long non-coding RNA from Monodelphis domestica (gray short-tailed opossum), 1371 nucleotides. RefSeq lists it as uncharacterized. NCBI's taxonomy places the organism in Eukaryota, Metazoa, Chordata, Mammalia, Didelphimorphia, Didelphidae. The record is from RefSeq and is a predicted model, not a curated record.